Molecule: long non-coding RNA, 5144 nt
Filed under: Sus scrofa (pig)
Lineage: Eukaryota; Metazoa; Chordata; Mammalia; Artiodactyla; Suidae
Description: lncRNA (ENSSSCG00000059553.1)
Source: RNAcentral
GAAUCCUCCUCUAAAUAAGGGUGUUCCACAGCUUCCUAAGGAUUUUUGGCACCUCACCCCUAAAAUGUGAGUCUUGAAUUUUCUUUGUCUUUGGGACCCAGCAGGGGAAAUGCCAUGGGAGAAAGGUGUUCGGUCAGGAAGUCUCCAGCUGGAAGGAUACCCACCAUGGCCGGGGUCAACGCCGCCUUGUAGAAGGGUGAGAAAGUGUGUCCCAUGCCUCAGCUACAUGACAUCUGCAUGGCACCCAAAGAAGUGGUCUCAGGGAAGGGGAUUGAAAAGGCCUGGAGGUAGGGUGCUACAGACUCUCUAGGUUGGAUUAGGCAUUUUACCCUCCCAGGUUACAGAACAGGCCAAAUCACUCCACUGAGGCAAUGAUGUUUUCUCAGCCUUUGAAAUGUCCUAGAUGAAGCCAUGGUUUGGGGAUAACACCCAUCAGUGCCUUAGCUAAUUUGGCAUAUUGAUCAGUCAUAUCAUAAUGGAAAACCACUGGAUGUGGUUAACCCCUUCCUGCCAGUGAGUUCUCCUCCUUGACAUCUCUGCCUCCCAUGGGGCCUUGUGCUUUGGGAACAGAAUGCUUUGUUUCAGCCGUGCAGAUGCCUAGGUGAACUGGGGAAAGCGGACUCUUCCUGUGUCUAACCUGGAAUAGCUCCAGAGUGAGGAAAUGAAGAGGCUAGAGAGAAAAAGCCCUGGACCCCGGGCUCGGGAGACCCUGUGUGGCAGCUGGUUCUGCCACUUUUUGAGCCUGCUGACCUUGAGCAGGUCACCACCUCUCUGCAGAUUUUGAUCGCUUGCCUUGUCUGUAAAACUGCGUUCGUUCUCGGGGUCCUUUAACCCUAGCUUGCCCUCUCCAGUCUUCUAAGCGUGGAUCCCUGGUCUGUUGUUGGCAGACGAGAAAGGGAGCCCGCGGUCUGAGUGCGUGCUUCUGCCACGUUACUUUGCGACCUUCCACAAGGACACGCUGUCUCUGAACCUCAGUUUCCUCACUUAUAAAAUCAGGGUGAGAUAAUGAGCCUUUAUAAAACUUACAAAAUACGGAUGAGAUAAUGAGCCUUUUCAUAGGCACCAUAUAAAUGCAAUGAAGUGAUUUCCUGAGUUCCGAGGGGGAAGGUGGGGGAAGGCAGGCUGAGGAGAAGACGGUGGGGGUUAGCGGCAGGUGGGGUGAAACCAGGGCUAGGAGCGGGGGGCGGUGGGGGUACGGUCGUCCAGGCCGAGAAAACCUCCGACCCAGUCCUCCUCGGUUCCUCUUCAUUUCCCAGCAGCAGCCCAGGGAGGGGAAACUAUUGAGAGGUUGUAAGCGAUGCUGAGAACAGCCCAAGAGGGUGGCUGCAAACUCUUGUCUAAGGGGGUCGCGCUGCCCGAGUGCGCACGGCGCCAAAGCAAAGAGGCCGAGGGGAGCCCGACCAGGGCUCGGAAUCCCCGCGCAAACCAGCAGCCUCUCAUUUCCUACCCUGCCCGGGGGUAAUAGCCCUGAACUGAGCACCUUCUGGGCUGCCCCGCAUCACCUCCUAGGGGUGUAAAAACAGCUCCGAGGGGAGCCCUGGAAAUCACAUCACGGCUGUAUGCUCACCAGAGUGACCUGUCUCGACUCAUCUCUGCGGGAAAAUCACAGAUCUGCUAGAGAAACUCUCCAAAUUCCUGUUUAUUCUUUACGUAAACGGAUUAACCUAGGGUUAGCGAUUUUACUUCCAGUCUCUCUUUCAUGUUACAGCGAAAAUGAAAUCGACCGACCACUCCUUUGAAGCAGUUCUUUGAGCCAUAAGCGUAAUUUCUCUUCUCUCCCAUCAAAAGGGGUUUUCUCUUUUUUGCCAAAAAAAAAUUUUUUUUGUUUUUAUUUUUGAAGCCCCAGGAGCUGAGAGGCUGGCAGGAGGCGUGGCUGCCAUAAGAGCCGCUUGCUGUCCCCCUGCUGACUCAUCUGACAUUAACAUAAUUAUGUUUUAAGAGUCAAAGUGAUUUUCAAACUAUGAGUAAUGCACGGUAUUAGAGAGAAUGUUGACGAAGCAGCGGGCAUUUCAGCACGCUGAGGGAGCCAGCUGCUGCUAACAGCUGAAACCAGUGAAAGAGUAAGAAAAUGCUCUCGGAAAAAGAAGCUGACUUUCUCCGUUCCUCUUCCUUGGGAAAGAUUCGGAUUUUGUGAAAGGCAGGUGAACUCAGAGUUCCCUGAGGAAGGAUCCAGAUCUAGCAUCUUUAGCUGAAUAUCUGGCUGUCUGAUCAUUUUAUAUGAAAAAAAAAUGUUUUCAUAGUAUUCAUUUUCAUAUAACCAAUGCUAGGCAAAGAUGGACCUAAAGAUUACAACCAUUUCUUAAAGCCAAAUUAUUACCAGUAAUAAUAAUAAUAAUAAUCUAAAGUUGUGUGAAGAAAUGGGCUACUUCUUCUAAGACAGGAAAGAGGUCACAAAUCAUUUCCUGAAUUUCAAAGAUGGGGCGCAGAAGCCCAUGGUAGGGGCAUGAAAGCCUUCUCAAAGCUCCUUUGAUUAGUGAGAGGAACGUCUGAGAGCCAUUGACUUAGACCUUAGGAGAGAAAAGCUGAGUUCCAGUCCUCUUCCAGAGCUGUCUCUGUCCUUGCCUCUGUUUCUCAUAAUGGGAAUAUUACUAGCACUUGUUCUGCCUACCUCAGAGGAACAGCUUGAGCUCUGGGAGGGCAGCAAGAGUGCCCGCUCCUGUGCCCCCCAGUGUUUAACCUGGAGCUCUCGCAUUGUAAGUGCUCAGUAAGCAUUUGCAGAGUUAAGGAAUGAGAUAAGAGCUUUGAACACAGAGCUCUGCUCUUGGGUUUAUUUGGUCUUCUUGCCUUUAGUUCCCUGUGCCCAGGGCUGAGGGGCUCAGUUUGAGACUCGUCUGCUGACGUACCAGCACUAAUACGGAAAAAUAACUGCUCACAUCCUUGGGAUCAACUGCUAAAGUCAGAGGGAAGAAAAUGCUCAAAUCAGAAACUCCUUUAGAAAAGGCUCACUCAAAAACAUGGCAGUAAUUUUGUUUAUAUGUUGGAGCUACAUCUGGAGAACUGGCAGGCUUAAUUUCACCUGCUGGAUCUUGAAUGAAAGCAUCACCGCAAGUGUUAUAACAAAAGUCAACUUGGUUUGGGGCAUCAGGAUGGCCAGUGAAAGAUAAGUGGUUGGACUGGCUAAACCCUUGAAAAAUAAAAGUUCCACUCAGAUCCACACUUAAGAGUACAAAAUAAAAUAAAUUAGGAAAGAUUAAUUCUGCUAUUUUUGGGGGCCACACCCACGCAUGUGGGAGUUCCUGGGCUAGGGGCAGUGACAAUGUCAGAUCCUUAACCUACUGCACCACAAGGGAACUCCAAUCCUGCCACUUAAAAAAAAAAAAAAAAAAAAAAGGGAAAAACAUUCAUUUGAUUUACACUGAAGAACAGAUUUCUAAAUUUUGAGAAGGGCUUACAAGGAUCACUCUGUUCUCUUGUUCUUUCCAGUCCUGCUUUGGCUUCUUUGCCUUUGUCUCCUUCUCCCUCUUCCCUUCAUCCCUAAGCUAACUCCUUUCAUUCUGGUUCCCUGCUGCUUCCCCCAAGCAUUCCUUCUCAUGAACUGUCUUAAGGUAUCAUCCCCCUGGAGAGUGGUCAAUAGGGUUGGUGUUUUUUCUGUUUUUUGGUUUUUUUAAUGUAAAAAGAAAAAGUCAUGAACUAAUUAUAAGCUCACUUAUAAAUAAAUUGCUAAUUAUUUUUGAGCUACCAAGCUUAACCACACACACAAAUAUUCCUCUUCACUUAGGAAUGUCUUUGAUGAAGCAGUAAAAAUUCAUUUUAUCAAACCUCAUCCCUUGACUACACUACCUUAGAAGGCUCUGCAUUUGCAUCACGGGAAAAAGGGAUGGCCCCCAGGGAAAGAUACCCACUGAGAACCCUAACCUGCCCUCAACUGAGAGGCCUAGGUGUGUGUCUUGUGGACGACCUGGAUUGACCGAUUUCUCCUCUCCCCAUCCAUUACAACAAUAUUGUUAGGCUUACUUCAAGCAGUAAAUAUAAACUAUAAAAUAUAAACUUCAUGACUAAUCAAUCCAAAAUGAUAGUAAAAGACAGGUCAGGAUAUAUGGUCCUGUCCCGAGCAUCCGAAGAUGAUGCCGGAAAAGAAAAUGUGUGGGCUCCCAGUGGCUGUCAUUUGACAUUCUGCCCGAGGCACGCUCUCCAGUGGGGUAAAUCCAGGCUGGGGGUGCUUCUGAGGUUCUGAGCCUCCGUUCUAUCAGUGCUGCAUGUUCCCGACACUCCUGAGUUCACCUCCUUUACUCUGCUGUUCCUGCACGCUAAUGCCUGUCAGGCUAGGAACCCUAAAUUGGGUUUGGAUGACACAGUCGCUGAUCCUUAAGGCAUCUCGAGUUAGGUUUCUUACUUUUAACCUUGAUUCAUUUAUUUUGUAAAUAUGUGUAAAUAAUGUAAUAUUCAUGUAAUAGUUUUAUUAUUAGCAGGUUGCUGAACAUUUGAGACCCAAAUGUUUAACAUAUAUUCUGAAAUAAACUUGGCCUGUUCAGAAUCCUCAUGGAAAAACUUAUGCUUAUUUUUCUCCAUAUUCCCUCUUUAUAUCUUUCCUUCCCUCUAUUCUCUCCCUCCAUCUUUCCUUCCCUUCCUUCCUUCUUUCCUCUUUCCUUUUGUUUUUUGCUUACUUUUUAAAAAACAUAUCCAGAAGGAGAUAAGAAAAACUGAUGAAGGCAACUAGGACUAGAGAGAGACUUUCAUCGUAUGCAUUUUUUGACUAUUUUAAUUUUUAAUCACCUACACAUGUACUUUUUCUCAUUAAAAAAUUUGGUUAACUGAAAUAGUGUUUUGCAUUUUUCCCGUUUUCACUUUUUUUAAAGUGUUUUAUUUUUUCCCCCAAUUCUAAUGCCAGCCUAUUCCUCCUGGAACAGCUUCCAGAGGGAAGUGGGGAAGAAGGGAAAAGAGAAAGUUGGCAAGGGCUCAGUGCCUAUGUGUUCACAGCAGAGACAUAGGGGACAGGUUAGCCUAACAGGAUCAAGGGAGUUUUAGCCUUUUUUUCCUUUUUUUUAAACUUAAGAUGUAAGCAUCAUUAAGUAGUUUACAACAUCAUUUAAAAUGGUUGUAUAGGAGCCCUUUUUACUAUAAUUUAUUUAAUACACUAUGUUAAACAUUUGGGUAAUAUCAGACACGUCAAUAUUAAUGUAAUGGUACUGCAAUAAACAUUCUUG